RNAcentral lists this ribosomal RNA (499 nucleotides) under uncultured bacterium. RNAcentral's name for it is "partial 16S ribosomal RNA". It matches the Rfam family "Bacterial small subunit ribosomal RNA", at positions 899 to 1397 of the family's 1533-position model. The record is from RNAcentral.
ACUCAAAGGAAUUGACGGGGGCCCGCACAAGCGGUGGAGCAUGUGGUUCAAUUCGACGCAACGCGAAGAACCUUACCUGGGCUCGAACGGCUCACGAAAGUCCUUGGAAACAGGGAUUUCCCGCAAGGGACGGGAGUCGAGGUGCUGCAUGGCUGUCGUCAGCUCGUGUCGUGAGAUGUUGGGUUAAGUCCCGCAACGAGCGCAACCCUUGUCCUGUGUUGCUAAGCCGCAAGGCUGCACUCGCAGGAGACCGCCAGGGAUAACCUGGAGGAAGGUGGGGAUGACGUCAAGUCCUCAUGGCCUUUAUGUCCAGGGCUACACACGUGCUACAAUGGCCGGUACAAUGCGCUGCUAACCCGCGAGGGGGAGCCAAUCGCAAAAAGCCGGUCUCAGUUCGGAUUGCAGGCUGCAACUCGCCUGCAUGAAGCUGGAAUCGCUAGUAAUGCCAUAUCAGAACGAUGGCGUGAAUACGUUCCCGGGCCUUGUACACACCGCCCGU